This is a long non-coding RNA of Cyprinus carpio (common carp), 1433 nucleotides long. RefSeq lists it as uncharacterized. The record is from RefSeq and is a predicted model, not a curated record. The transcript is spliced from 2 exons. Lineage: Eukaryota; Metazoa; Chordata; Actinopteri; Cypriniformes; Cyprinidae.
UUAUUCCUGAUGUAGGCAGUCAUGUAGAUCCCCCUCCUAUUGACAGCUAUCUGUCAAUUCCAGAGUCCUAAUGCUGGUGUUAUUCCAGAUGUUGCCCCGCUAUACAUGUCUUGGGUUUGACUGACCAGGACUUGACCAGAGGACUCAAAGAGCAGGUUUUGCUACUUGUAAGCUGGGCAGCUUCUUGGAGUUGGAUGUGCUGCUGUCCUGUAGCUUGAUAGCAGCUCACUUUUGAUGCAUUCCCCCCCACCCCCUCCCCGAUAGUCCUUGUUAUGGACAACUUCAGCACUCAUCUAGGUAAGUCUCAUUCCUAAUAAGCUCUUCUCGUUUGUUCUCUGGAAAUGGGGAGAGCUUUCUUCAGUAGAUUCUCAAGUGCUUGAAUAUCAGCUUUGACUUGUCUCCAUUUGUGCAUAUUGUUGUCUUUAUGGCAUUGAGACGUGUUCCCCAACAGUCUCUGAGUAACAAAUUUUACCUCUGUUACUUGGUGAGGAGCAGAACCGGUUAAAGUUGGUUAUCUACUGGUGCACAUCCAAAACCACAAGCUCUGAUAUCUGAUAGGGCUGCCCCAAACCUAGUGAUGAGUGGUUAAUGCUCCUUUCGCUUUUUGUAUUUAUGCAUGUCAGGCAAAUGUUUCGUCCUAUGUCAGUUCUUGCAGUGUACCUUUCAUUUGUCAGGUUACAGCAAAAAUCUAACUUUUUUUUUACACAUUUCUAAGCCUCCGAUUUAAAUGUAUUUUUAUGGAACGGUCAAAUGAUGGUCUAAUACCAAACCUCUUUCUUUGCAAAUAUUAACAUUACUUACUCAUACCUAAGAAUUUGACAUGUAUUAUAAUUAUUCAAAAUACACUUUUAAAAUACAAAUAGCUGUCAACUGACAAGGUUUUUGUCUUAGAAGAAGCCUGUUGAACAAUAUCAGAAGCAUCUUUUAUGGUCCAGAGGACUCUUAAUCCAAGAAUUCCUUGGGGGCACAAUUAUCCACAAGAACAAUGUCUUCAGGUACUAAAUUUAACUUCAGAUUUCUGCCACUUUUGCCAUUCUUUCAGUAGCUGCAUGCAUUUCUUAGUCCAUGUAGACAAGAAGAGAUUGGUCAUGUUGAAUUUGCUUCCAUCUUCUACUUGAAUAACAGUCCUCUUUCUGAAAAACUCCUGGUGGCAUGAUUUCAUCAGCAGAGGGUUUGUAAUCAGAGGCUCAAACUCAUGGUUUAGCAAUUGGUCAUAGUUUAAUGACUUCAACACAAUUGUGUGAAGCGUUUAAUCAUCUAAUACCUGUUAAUUCAACACCAAAUUGAGAACUUUCUAAAUUGCAUUUGUCCUUCCCAUGUUCCACGUUGAGAUGCUGGAGUAUUUUGAAAAUCCACUUUGUCCAAAAUCCAGUUUACAAUUUCUCUCUUCAAACGGUGUACAAAGAAUCUCCAUCUUUCUGCCUCUAAAGUUU